Mya arenaria is the source of this 964-nucleotide RNA transcript. RefSeq lists it as uncharacterized. The transcript is spliced from 5 exons. Lineage: Eukaryota; Metazoa; Mollusca; Bivalvia; Myida; Myidae. The record is from RefSeq and is a predicted model, not a curated record.
CCGGUACCUGCGCUUCUUUACACUUGAAUAUUUUGAACGACGUAGACACAAACUGUGACGAACAGCUUGGUGUUGUAUGUGAAGCCGAUCCGCUAUCGGCAAUCUCCACGACUACGAUACCAUCAACAACUGUACAGUACGGUUGCCGAAACUCCUCUUGGCUUCACUAUAACGGCUUUUGCUACGCUUUGGUAAAAAGGAACGGCGAUCAACAUCUAGCUGACUGCGCAUUCAUUCAGAUGGAACUGGCCAGUAUUGAGAGUGAGGAAGAGAACCAUAGGAUUUGGGCGUGGUUGCAAAAAUACAAAAUGAGGCCAAUGAUAUUUUAACCGGAUUACUUGCUAUAUUUGGUCGCUUAAUGUACAGUGAUGGAAGGGAAGCAACCUACACAGUACCUAUCUUGAACCCGUACGCCAGUGGCAUUGCAUUUAUUUCUAUGCAGACGCCGUACAGGUGGAAAAUUACAAUGAAAAUGGAUACAGUGAAACAUAUGUUAUGCAAAAGUGACGAAGAGGUUGUAAGGUGGACUGAUACAACAACGGCAACGACAGCUUCUGCAACUUCAACUACAACCGCAUCAGGAUGGCAAACGCAGACGAAACUAUCGUUCAAUCCGUUACCUGGGCGUCACCAUGCAGACGAAUCAUCAAAUGCAGUAAGCCCUGACAAAGCAUCUGGACUAACACCACGGCAAAUCAUCGGUGUCGCCAUUGACGUUAUUGCAGGGGUUAUCACCCUUUGCGUGUGUGUGUAUAUUGCUCGAAACGACAUCGUGACAUCAGAAAUGUAUCAAACGAAGCUUGUACGGGACUCGUCUAUAGGAUUUGACAAUGCGUUGUUUCAUAAGGACAGAGAAGACAGUGUUAGUCUCCAGUGACAAUGAUAGUCUUCAGUAAACCUCAGUUGAAUAUACUAUAUUGUCUUGGUUCAUUGAUAUUAAUUUGCUCUUGCUUCUUUCAAACGU